This 253-nucleotide ribosomal RNA is filed under the name uncultured bacterium. Its description in RNAcentral is "partial 16S ribosomal RNA". It matches the Rfam family "Bacterial small subunit ribosomal RNA", at positions 524 to 776 of the family's 1533-position model. The record is from RNAcentral.
UACGUAGGGUGCAAGCGUUGUCCGGAAUUAUUGGGCGUAAAGAGCUCGUAGGCGGUUUGUCGCGUCUGCUGUGAAAACUCGGGGCUCAACCCCGAGCCUGCUUCCGAUACGGGCAGACUAGAGGUAUGCAGGGGAGAAUGGAAUUCCUGGUGUAGCGGUGAAAUGCGCAGAUAUCAGGAGGAACACCGGUGGCGAAGGCGGUUCUCUGGGCCGACACUGACACUGAGAGACGAAAGCUAGGGGAGCGAAUGGG